UACGUAGGGUGCAAGCGUUGUCUGGAAUUAUUGGGCGUAAAGAGCUUGUAGGCGGUCUGUCGCGUCUGCUGUGAAAAUCCGGGGCUCAACCCCGGACUUGCAGUGGGUACGGGCAGACUAGAGUGUGGUAGGGGAGACUGGAAUUCCUGGUGUAGCGGUGAAAUGCGCAGAUAUCAGGAGGAACACCGAUGGCGAAGGCAGGUCUCUGGGCCACUACUGACGCUGAGAAGCGAAAGCAUGGGGAGCGAACAGG
Molecule: ribosomal RNA, 253 nt
Filed under: uncultured bacterium
Lineage: Bacteria
Description: partial 16S ribosomal RNA
Rfam family: Bacterial small subunit ribosomal RNA
Source: RNAcentral